This 181-nucleotide ribosomal RNA is filed under the name Bacillus cereus. Its description in RNAcentral is "partial 16S ribosomal RNA". It matches the Rfam family "Bacterial small subunit ribosomal RNA", at positions 1 to 176 of the family's 1533-position model. Lineage: Bacteria; Bacillati; Bacillota; Bacilli; Caryophanales; Bacillaceae. RNAcentral also lists the same sequence under 1 other name. The record is from RNAcentral.
UUAUUGGAGAGUUUGAUCCUGGCUCAGGAUGAACGCUGGCGGCGUGCCUAAUACAUGCAAGUCGAGCGAAUGAAUUAAGAGCUUGCUCUUAUGAAGUUAGCGGCGGACGGGUGAGUAACACGUGGGUAACCUGCCCAUAAGACUGGGAUAACUCCGGGAAACCGGGGCUAAUACCGGAUAA